This 255-nucleotide ribosomal RNA is filed under the name uncultured bacterium. RNAcentral describes it as "partial 16S ribosomal RNA". It matches the Rfam family "Bacterial small subunit ribosomal RNA", at positions 524 to 777 of the family's 1533-position model. The record is from RNAcentral.
UACGUAGGGUGCAAGCGUUAAUCGGAAUUACUGGGCGUAAAGCGUGCGCAGGCGGUUUUGUAAGUCAGAUGUGAAAUCCCCGGGCUUAACCUGGGAACUGCGUUUGAAACUACAAGGCUAGAGUGUGGCAGAGGGGGUGGAAUUCCGACGUGUAGCAGUGAAAUGCGUAGAUAUGACGGAGGAACACCGAUGGCGAAGGCAAUCCCCUGGGCCUGUACUGACGCUCAUGCACGAAAGCGUGGGGAGCAAACAGGA